RNAcentral lists this unclassified non-coding RNA (822 nucleotides) under Ceratandra grandiflora. RNAcentral's name for it is "partial contains tRNA-Leu (trnL), trnL-trnF intergenic spacer, and tRNA-Phe (trnF)". The record is from RNAcentral. Lineage: Eukaryota; Viridiplantae; Streptophyta; Magnoliopsida; Asparagales; Orchidaceae.
GUUCUAACGAAUGAAAUUGACUACGUUAGAUUAGUAGCUAAAAUCCUUAUAUCAAAAGAAAAUAUCGAAAUGACAGAAAGGAUAAUCUUAUAUACCUAAUACGUACGUCUAGAUACUGACAUAGCAAAUAAUUCAUCACAUUUCUUUCUUAUUUAUUUAUAUCACAUCUGACUAUUAUCUUAUCUAUUAGUAUAAGUGUAUUAGUAUGAGUAUAGGAUAAGGUUCUAUAGAAACCCCCUAUUUCUAUUCUAUAUUGAUUAGAAUGAUAUACUAUGAAAAAUUGAAGAGUUAUUGUGAAUCAAUUCUCAUUGAAGUUGAAAAAAGAAUUGAAUUCCAAUAUUCAGUGAUCAAAUUAUUCAUUCCAGAGUUUGAUAGAUCUUUUUAAUAUUAAUCGAACGAGAAUAAAGAGAGAGUCCCAUUUUACAUGUCAAUACCAACAACAAUGAAAUUUAGAGUAAGAGGAAAAUCCGUCGAAUUUUAAAAUCGUGAGGGUUCAAGUCCCUCUAUCCCCAAGAAAAAGCCCAUUUUACUUCCUCACUCUGUUCUUUCGCAAAUGGAUCCAAAUCAAAAUUUUCGUAUAUUCUUCCAAUUGCAAUCCAAUUUCAUUUGUAUAGAUAUGAUACCUGAACAAAUGAACAUAUAUGUUCAAAGAAUUUCCGUUAUUUAAUAAUUCACAGUCCAUAUCCUUACAUUUACAAAUAAAGUCUUCGUUUUGAAGAUCUAAGAAAUUAAGGGGGCUAGGUACAAUUGUGAGACUGUCUUUUUUAGUUCUUUUCAUUGACAUAGAUACAAGUAUUCUGCUAGGAUGAUGCACGGAAAAUG